GCGUUCUGUGAGCUUCUCGCACCCUCAGCCCGAGUGUGACGAGCCUGGGCUGGCAGGGGUCUAUUGCGCAAGCCCAGAGAGCUGGGCUGAAGUUAGGGGAGAAGCCUUGGCUGCGCUCCCGAGACGAUGAAGCGCGGCGUUCCGCGGGCUCCUUCCCGGAAGCGGAAGUUCGGGGGGCGGGCCGAGGGCCGCUGGGAGUCCGCGGCGGUUAAUUCUUUUCACCGUGCCUAUUUGCUUCGCUCCCUCUGGACUUUUCUGAAGCUGCGAGAGAUGGUUAGGUCGGGAUCUCGGCCGGGCCAGAGCGCUGCCUUUGGUGUGGGGCCCGGGGUUCGAGUCCAACCUCCGCCGCUGGGUCGGGUAUUAUCUUCAGGAAAGCACACUGGACCUGCUAAGUUAACAAACAGAAAGAAAGGGACUCAUUUAAGAAAGAUAUCCCGUCUUAAUGCAGAUUCUGGCUAUCCCACUCAUUCUGAUUCAGAAAGUCAGAGUGAAACAGUACAGGGGCUUGAUGGUUGUGCUUCUUUGCUACGGGACAUUUUGAGAAAUGAAGAUUCAGGUUCAGAAAUAGCAUAUUCAGAAAAUAGAUAUAACCCCAGACCUUUAGAAAGCAAAAGAUGUGGAUCUAAAAAGAAAGGACAUGAAAAACAACACACUGUUCCUUCAGUAGUCCGGAAAGAAAUUUUAUCUUCAGAUAUUAAGAAACAGAUACCUAAUGAAGCUUCUGCUGGCAGUGAAAGAGAUGCAUCAGAUACACCACAAAAUUGGUCACUGCAAGAUCAUUAUAGAAUGUAUUCACCCAUGAUAUACCAAGCUCUCUGUGAGCAUGUGCAGACUCAAAUGUCACUGAUGAAUAACUUGCCCUCAAAGAACAAUGCUAAUGGAACUCCUACUGUACCUUGCCACACUGUGUCUGGUUCUGAAUCUCACACAACACAUUCUAGUUGUGGCUUAUCUACCCCCACCCCAGUCCAGUUUUCUCAGCAGCCACCCUGCCCUCCAAUGGUUCAUUCUGAAGUUCAGACUGAUAGUGAUAACCAGUUUGCCUCACAAGGUAAAACAGUUUUGAUGAACUGUACCGAUGAUGUUCUAAGGAAUUCUUUCAGUACUAGCCUUGGAGUUCCAUGUAGCUCGCCCCAAAUUGACAAACCAGCUCCUCCAGCAUUCCAGCAGCUGGGUCUUGCUAAUGGGAUUCUGCCACAACAAAGAGUUCCAAAGGAAACGGACCUACUAAAGUGUUUCCAGACAUAUAUGAAACUGUUGCAUUCUCAUCCGGACAGUCAGACACAGCAAAACCCCCUGUUACAGCCAGCUUCCUUGGCUACUAAUGAAGACAAAUGCACUAAAGAACAAGGAGGAGAGGUCAGAAGCGAAGGAAAGGAUUUAAACCUACAUGUGCGAGAUUUAAGAAUAAAGGAUGUGCGGAAGGCAAAAAAUGUGAACCAGAGUGCUGAAAAAGUGAGAACUAUAAAAUACUUGUUGGGAGAGCUCAAGGCCCUGGUAGCAGAACAAGAAGACUCAGAAAUUCAGAGGUUGAUUACAGAAUUGGAGUUAUGUAUAUCUUUGCUUCCAACAGUAAGUGGCAAAACAAAUUUUCAGGUUGAAAUAGCACUGGCCAUGCAACCACUAAGAAAUGAAAAUGCUCAUUUACGCAGGCAAUUGAGAAUUUUGAACCAGCAACUUAGAGAACGAGAAAAAACUCAAAAGGCAUCUGGUUCUCUGGAAUGCAGUCUUGAAUUGUUUUCUCUUCAAUCGCUGAACAAGUCACUGCAAAAUCAAUUACAAGAGUCACUAAAAAGCCAGGAAUUACUACAGAGUAAAAAUGAAGAACUUUUAAAAGUGAUAGAAAAUCAGAAAGAUGAAAACAAAAAAUUUGCUGAUAUAUUUAAAGAGAAAGAUCAAGCUUUACUUGAAAAUAAACAGCAAUUUGACAUUGAGACAACAAGAAUGAAAAUCGAAUUAGAGGAAGCCUUGGUCAACGUGAAAAGCUCCCGGUUUAAGUUAGAAGCUGCUGAAAAGGAAAAUCAGAUAUUGGGAAUAACAUUACGUCAGCGUGACGCUGAGGUGACUCAACUGAGAGAAUUAACUAGAACUUUACAGAGCAGUAUGGCAAAGCUUCUCUCAGAUCUUAGUAUGGACAGUGCACGCUGCAAGGCUGGAAAUAAUCUUACCAAAUCACUUCUGAACAUUUAUGAAAAACAACUUCAACAUGACCCAAUCCCUGCUCACACUUCCAUAAUGAGCUACUUAAAUAAGUUAGAACCAAAUCACACUAUUAUUACAUGUCCAGAGCCACUUUCUACAAUUAACAAUGAGGAAAACAUAGUGCCAGAUAGACUGUAUGAAAAUGUUCUGCCCUCCAAAGGCCCUCAGCAUAGUAAUACUAGGAGCAUGGAGGAAAUAUCAGCCCUUGGAAUCAUUUCUGCCCUUUCAAAACAGGAUUCUGAUGAGGAGAGUGAAAUUACGACAUUAAUAGAAGAUGAGUGUAAAUUGGAUAAGACAAUUUACAUUCCAUUUGCUAGAAGCACUUAUAAAAAGAAAUCACCGCUAGCCAAGGGAUUAUCCCCCCAGCCACAGAUCAGUGUUGCUUCACCGAAGCUGGUCAGCAACUGUGGACAUGUUGCUGAAAAAGUAAAUAAAUUGUGUGCACCUGGAGUUUGUUCCUCUUCCAAAAAGGAGGAAGAUGUACCUGAGAAACUUUCUAAGACAACUGAUAUGGAGGACAAGCAGCUCCUUGAGAAAAUAAAGGAAGCCAUUUGCAAGAUCCCUGUUGCCACUGAGGAGCCAGAGGAACUGGCUGCACGUCACGGCCCCUCCACUUGUCAGAGCAGCAUCAUUCAAGUGAAAAGUAGUGCAGUGUCUGAUGCUAGCUUUUUAAAUUCUGACUUGACCUCUGACUGGAGCAUCUCUUCUUUUUCAACGUUCACUUCUCGUGAUGAACAAGACUUUCGAAAUGGGCUUGCAGCACUGGAUGCCAACAUUGCUAGACUCCAGAAGUCCUUAAGGACUGGUCUUCUGGAGAAGUAAACCCAGAAGAAAAAUUCUUCUUAAGAAUAGAACUUGGCUACAUUGAAUGUAUAUUUUAAUUUUCUUUAGAGAAAAGGUUUAUAUUAAUUAUGUGUGAAACAAAUUGUGUGAAUAAUAAAUUUAUUAUUGGAGUAUAUUGACAACACUGUGGAGCUUAUAAAAAACAAGUCAUUUUAAGAAAUUGAUAUCUGCUAAGAGAAGAAAGUCGUAUACAACUAGGAAAGUACUGAUUCCUGUUUGUGUUUUAAUGGCAUUGUGUUUUUAUAUGGGAUGCUCUGUGCUACAGGCUGAUGUUGGUGAGACAUAUAAACGUUUAUUUUAAGAGAAAAAGUGCCAAUAACUCCAACUUUUUGAAAAAUAUUGAUUGGUCUAAGAAAAUAUAUAUAACAUCCCAAGUUAGCAUAUGGUUUCUUAGAACUUUGACACUUUAUUUUUACCCUUAAUGUAUAAGACCAUUAACAAGUAGAGCGGACUGAUAAAGAAAUGCUAGCAGGAUGAAUUCAGUAUCUCCUGAUAGAUACUGGGUGUAGAAUGGGAAAGAACGAUCCUUUAGCAUGUUGACACUAUUCUGCUGCCCCUUCUUGGAUCUGAAGGUCAAUACUAUCAGACUUGCUGUAUUAGGAUAGGGAGAUGGAUUGGUGGAAGAUGGGACACAAACUAGAACAAGUCAAUAAAUGAAUAUUUGAAGACUUGGACUACUUGUCAUCACCUCAUCCCUCCCCCCAUCCCAACUGGUCUAAAAAUCCAUCUGGUCAGAUUUUUAUAAAAAUGGAUGACUUAUGCAUAAAGCAACUCCUCUUGUUCCCUAGCCUACCAGAAAAGGCUCUCCCUCCAUCUUUUUAUUCCUUACAUUGCAUUUGUUGGAAGAAGCAGGUUGUCAGAGCCACGAAUUUCCCACGGUCUGAAUUUUGCAUAUUGCAUCCCUAUGUUGUAACAGAAUGUUUUCCUCAACCUGGUUAUUUCCUGUGAAUUGGUAGUGGAGUCUAGAGGCUUGGUCAGAUUCAGGUUUGACCUUUAUAGUGAGAAUAACUCAUAGAUGGUGUCUGCUUCUCCACUGGGACUCACAUAAUGUCUGGUUGUCUCGCCCUUUGUGAUGUUAGUAACAGCUGGUACGCUGUGUCCGGAUCUGUUAGGGUUACAAAAUGCUGACUGUCCAACUCUAUCCUAUUUCAUUAUGACGUAAACUACAUCUCUAAAGAAAAACUUACUCACUUCCGCUAUUUGGAUAGCCGAUGGUACAAUUCAUUUAUAUAGGACAAGAAAAAUACUUGAUUCUUUCCAGUUAUUUAUCAGUUUGCAAAAUAAUGAAUUGGUUCCUUCAGCGUCUUUCAAUGGUGACUUGUUUUCUAGUAUCACUGUGAAUUCAUGGAUUAAAUUAUUUGCUGUGUUUCAGUCCACUGUAAUUAUGAUUCUUAUAGAUACUUAAAUUGUCCCACAUUUGAUCAGUUGAAACUUUGUUAUUGCUGUUUUUUGUGUUUGCUGGUGUGAUGGGUGUCAAGCAAUUUUGUUACUUUCGUUUUUAUUUCCCUGAUUUCUAGUGAGUUUGACCGUGUUCAUAUGUUUUUUGGGCCUUCUGGCUUUCCUCACUAGUGAAUUGUUUAUUUGUAUCCUUUGUACAAUUUUCUAUUCACUUGUUGGUUUUGUCCAAUCUCUCUCUCUCUCUCUCUCUUUUUUUUUUUUUUUGUCUUUCUCUCUUUUUAGGGCCACAUCCACGGCAUAUGGAGGUUCCCAGGCUAGGGGUCGAAUCAGAGCUGUAGCCACCGGCCUACACCAUGGCCACAGCAAUGCCAGAUGCGAGCCGCAUCUUCGACCUACACCACAGCUCAUGGCGACGCUGGAUCCUUAACCCACUGAGCGAGGCUAGGGAUCGGACCCACAACCUCAUAGUUCCUAAUUGGAUUUGUUUCUGCUGUGCCACGAUGGGGACUCCUUGUCUAAUUAGUUUUUAAGAGUGCUUUGUGUAGAAAGUAAUUCUUUGUGAGAAUAUAGCAGCAUAAACAUUUUCUCAGACAUUGUUUAACUUUGUCUGAGUACCUUUUGCCAUACCAAAAAAAGGUAUUUAUAUAUGGUCAAAUAUGCCUGCCUUUUAUUUUAUAGUUUCUUUGUUCUUUUAAGGAAAACUUUCCCAAACCAUGGAUUAUGCAUAAAAUCUCCUAGGCAGUUUUCUUGAAGUUUUAAAUUAUUUUUCUCUUACAUAUUGAAAUUUUGAUCCAUUUGCAAUUUACUUCUGAAUUUAGUGUAAGAUAGUAGUCUACUUUUAUUUUCUUUUAGAUGGGUAGCCAGUUACACCUGUACUUAAAAAAAAAGUUUAUCUUUUUCCUAACUGAACUAUCAGUUUGGCAUCCAGAUAUUUCCAAUAUUAUCAAUUAUUUAUUCCACAAAUAAUUUUCAUACACCAUUACAAUGUCAUGUUGAUUUGAAUAAACUUUGUAGUAUGACUGAUUUUUUUUUUAUUGUUUUUCUAGGGCUGCACCCAUGGCAUAUGGAGAUUCCUAGGCUAGGGUCUAAUCAGAGCUGUAGCCACCGGCCUACACCACAGCCAUAACAAUGCCAGAUCUGAACUGCAUCUGUGACCUACGCCACAGCUCACGGCAACGCUGGAUCCUUAAUCCACUGAGCGAGUCCAGGGAUUGAACCCACAACCUCAUGGUUCCUAGUCAGAUUUGUUUCCGCCGCACCACAGUGGGAACUCUCUAUGACCGAUAUCUUUUUUUUUUUUUUUUUUUUUUUUUUUGGUCUUUUGUCCUUUUGGGGCCACAUUCGCGGCAUAUAGAGGUUCCUAAGCUAAGGGUGAAUCGGAGCUAUUGCUGCCAGCCUAUGCCACAGCCAUAGCCACAGCAACACCACAUUGAAGCCGCAUCUGCAGCCUACACCACAGCUCACAGCAAAACCUGAUCCUUAACCCACUGAGAGAGGCCAGGGAUUGAACCCUCAACCUCAUGGUUCCCAGUCGGAUUUGUUUUCUCUGCGCCACGACAGGAAAUCCAAAGACUUAGUAAGCUUCCCCAUAUACACACUUUCUCUUUUCUUACAUAUUUACAGUUGUAUUAGCUAUUCUUUGGCAUUCUUUUUCUAUUGAAUUUUAAGAUCAUUUUAUUUAAUUCCAAGAAAAAUCUUGUUGGAAUUUUAGUUGGAACUGUAUUGAAUUUAUAUAUUAAAAUUUCC
RNA transcript from Sus scrofa (pig), 6189 nucleotides. It is a transcript of the gene named coiled-coil domain containing 14, with no coding region annotated. Lineage: Eukaryota; Metazoa; Chordata; Mammalia; Artiodactyla; Suidae. The record is from RefSeq and is a predicted model, not a curated record.